RNAcentral lists this ribosomal RNA (427 nucleotides) under uncultured bacterium. RNAcentral's name for it is "bacterial SSU rRNA". It matches the Rfam family "Bacterial small subunit ribosomal RNA", at positions 356 to 773 of the family's 1533-position model. The record is from RNAcentral.
GGGGAAUUGUUCGCAAUGGGCGCAAGCCUGACGACGCAACGCCGCGUGGAGGAUGAAGACCUUCGGGUCGUAAACUCCUUUCGAUCGAGACGAAUGUUUUUCGGGUGAACAAUCCGGAUAAGUGACGGUACCGAGAGAAGAAGCCCCGGCUAACUCUGUGCCAGCCGCCGCGGUAAUACAGGGGGGGCAAGCGUUGUCCGGAAUCACUGGGCGUAAAGGGCGCGUAGGUGGUGGCUUAAGCGUGCGGUGAAAGCUCGGAGCUCAACUCCGAGUCGGCCGUGCGAACUGGGCUCACUGGAGCAUAGUAGAGGCAGGUGGAAUUCCGGGUGUAGCGGUGGAAUGCGUAGAGAUCCGGAAGAACACCGGUGGCGAAGGCGGCCUGCUGGGCUAUGGCUGACACUGAGGCGCGACAGCGUGGGGAGCAAAC